This 463-nucleotide ribosomal RNA is filed under the name uncultured bacterium. RNAcentral describes it as "partial 16S ribosomal RNA". It matches the Rfam family "Bacterial small subunit ribosomal RNA", at positions 28 to 507 of the family's 1533-position model. The record is from RNAcentral.
GAUGAACGCUGACAGAAUGCUUAACACAUGCAAGUCUUUGGCGAAGCUGUGCUUGCACAGCCUGGCCAAGGCGGACGGGUGAGUAACGCGUAAGGAACUUGCCCUGCAGUCAGGGAUAACAGACGGAAACGACUGAUAAGACCUGGUAAAGUCAGUCGGACUCAUGUCCAGCCUGAUGAAAAGAGAUGCUGCAGGAGAGCCUUGCGUCCUAUUAGCUUGUUGGUGGGGUAACGGCCCACCAAGGCGAUGAUAGGUAGCCGGCCUGAGAGGGUGGACGGCCACAAGGGGACUGAGAUACGACCCUUACUCCUACGGGAGGAAGCAGUGGGGAAUAUUGGACAAUGGGGGCAACCAUGAUCCAGCAAUUCUGUGUGCACGAUGAAGGUUUUCGGAUUGUAAAGUGCUUUCAGCAGGGAAGAAAAAAAUGACGGUACCUGCAGAAGAAGCGACGGCUAAAUACGUG